RNAcentral lists this long non-coding RNA (1798 nucleotides) under Ananas comosus (pineapple). Its description in RNAcentral is "long non-coding RNA (ACOM_LNC022336)". The record is from RNAcentral. Lineage: Eukaryota; Viridiplantae; Streptophyta; Magnoliopsida; Poales; Bromeliaceae.
CAUAUGUCUACACAUAUAAGGCGUCCACAAUAAAAGCGGAAGUAAAAGCAAGAAUAGAACAAAUGACGAGGUGAAAUAACUAGCAACUAAUGAUAUCAGAGCAAGUAAAGCUAGACAAUAAAGAAAUCACAAGUAGUACAAUAUCUGUCUCAAAAGUACAAAAACGGUGGUCUCUAAUACACUGGUAGAACUCUCAACCUCUCCAAAAUAAAACACAACGAGAGGUAGACCACCUAGCGAAUCGUCCUCAAAGGAAGCUAGCUCGAAGCAACUCCCUUCCCGCGGUCCCUAGCCUCGCCCUGAGUGGAAGGCUCUGAAAACAUCGAGAAAAAGAGGGCGUGAGAACUAUAAGCUAUAGUUCCCAGUGGGCAAUUACUGACCUCAGCUCCUGCUCCACUAGGCCCCAAAAACAAAGGUAAGCAACGAUAAUAAUAAUAAGCAAUAAGGAGCAUGUAAAUAAACUGCUGAAAGAAAGCGUGAUGUCAACCAAAAUGUACAUCUAUUCUAUCCUUACAAUUACGUCCAAUGGCACUAGUCUAAUGUCAAUAACCUUUAUCAAUGCAUGAUGCAUAAGCUCUAUCAUGGCAACCAAGUAUGCUCUAAUGCAACAAGAGACUAUCAAAUAUACUACAUGUCUCAACACUAUGCUAAAAGCAUAUAAAUGUAAUCCAACUACUAAACCUAUCUAGUAGUGAUUGACCAAUCUCGACCCCGUAUCGAUUUCCAUUUCCAAUCAAGGACCUACCAAAGGUAGUCUAGCUUGUGCCGCCUAAGUGCCUGUGGUAGCCCGACAUUCCUACUCUUGGAAUGUGUCUGUCCCACUCGACCCCGUAGGCUUCUCAAUACCGCACGAGCGAACAUAGGUCGCAUAGGCUAACUCCGGAGUGCCGGCUUGUAGGGAGCGACCCUCACAAGCAUGUGCGAAUGAGCACAAAUGGCAAGCAAGCAAAGUCCAAGUCUCAAGUAUCCAAUCCUCAUGUCUCUAACAUGGUAUAGUCACUAGCAUCCCAAAGAUCUAGUUUAUGUCACAAUGUGAAGGUUCAACCUUUGCUACGCCUAGUGCCCUUUGAUGACACUUAGGCAAUCUGAUGUUCAAUAUGUAUUUCAAAUCCCUUGAUGGCCCUAUCCACUAGGUUCACACGCGUCCCGAGCUCAAUGCCGCUUGAUGACAUUAGCUCUCUAAUUCACAUAGCUUCUAAAUGACAAUCUUGUCAAUUUUCAUGUCACAAGUAAUUGUAGGUUUACAUGCAUGAAUCCGAACUCAUUUAUACUAUAGAAGUAGGAUACCGCGUCUCAUAUAGAAUGCUAAAUGCAACCAUGGCCUAAUAAGCUACUCUCUACUACAUAGAGGUCCAAAAUUUCAUUAUAUAUAACGUAGGCCUUUUAAGCAUUCUAAAAUUCACAAUAAAUUCGUAUAACAAGAAUAUGCAUGCUUUUUCAUUUAACAACACUUAAUUAAACACACAUGAGAAUUUCUCAUUGUGUGGCUAGGUCAAACCCACCGAACCGUCGCGUAGGGUCUCGAUUCGCCGAACGAAGUUGUCCACGAGCCUCAAGAUACCCUAAAAGUGGUCAGCGAAGAGAUACGGGAGCAUCACGACCAACCGUAAGAUCAAACAUUAACCUAGGAGCAAAAAGGGCCAAAAUUUACCUCAAGAGUAGAAAUCUCUCCCAAAGCUCCAAAAGAGAGCUAGAACCCUUCCAAUCCAAGCCCUAGGAAGGUUCUAAACCAAUCAAUUUAGCCCCAAAAGCCCUAGAUCAAAAAUGCCCAAAAUUAAACCCUAAAUCUCAUUUCUAG